UUUCUCGGUUCAACAAACUUCGAGUUGUGGUGGCCGAUGACGGUUCCGAAGCCCCGGAAAUGCCUGUUAACGGGGCGCACCCGACCCUCCAGGCCGACGAUGAUUCCUUACUGGACCAAGACUUACCUUUGACCAACAGUCAGCUGAGUUUGAAGGUGGACUCCUGUGACAACUGCAGCAAACAGAGAGAGAUACUGAAGCAGAGAAAGGUGAAAACCAGGUUGACCAUUGCUGCCGUUCUGUACUUGCUUUUCAUGAUUGGAGAACUUGUAGGUGGAUACAUUGCAAAUAGCCUAGCAAUCAUGACAGAUGCACUUCAUAUGUUAACUGACCUAAGCGCCAUCAUACUCACCCUGCUUGCUUUGUGGCUAUCAUCAAAAUCACCAACCAAAAGAUUCACCUUUGGAUUUCAUCGCUUAGGCUGGAAUACAAUGACACCAUCAUAGCUCACUGCACCGUCGAACUCCUGAGCUCUAGAAAUGUUACCCUCGCAGCCUCCAGAGUAGCUAGGACUGCAUGCAUAUACCACCAUACCCAGCUAAUUUUUUAAUUUUUUGUACAGACAUGGUCUUGCUUUGUUGCCAGGCUGGUCCUGAACUCCUAGCUUCAAGCUAUCCUUCCACCUCAGUCUCCCAAAGUGCUGGGAUUACAACCAUAAGCCACUGCACCAGGCCUGAUGAAUGGAACCUUUUAAAGUCACUAAUAGUCCAGGCACUGUGGCUCAUACCUCUAAUUGCAGCACUUUGGGAGGCCAAGACAGGAGGAUCACUUGAGCCCAGGAGUUGGAGACCAGCCUGGGCAACACAGGGAGAUCCCGUCUCUAUAAAAAGAAAAAUUAGCAGAUGUGGUGGCACACACCUGUGGUCCCAGCUACUUGGGAGGCUAAGAUAGGAAGAUUGCUUGGGUCCAGGAGGUUGAGGCUGCAGUGAGCCAUGUUCAGGCCACUGCACUCUAGCCUGGGUGAUGGAGCAAGACUCUGUCUCAAAAAAAUAAAAAAAUAUAGGCUGGGUGCAGUGGCUCAUGCCUGUAAUCCCAGCACUUUGGGAGACCAAGGCUAGUGGAUCACCUGAGGUUGGAUUUUGAGACCAGCCUGACCAACAUGGAGAAACCCCAUCUCAACUAAAAAUACAUGUGGCACAUGCUUAUAAUCCCAGCUACUCAGGAGGCUGAGGCAGGAGAAUCACUUGAACCCGGGAGGUGGAGGUUGCGGUGAGCUGAGAUCGUGCCAUUGCACUCCAGCCUGGGCAACAAGAGCGAGACUCUGUCUCAAAACAAAAAAAAAAAAAGUAAAAAGUCACUAAUAUAUAAUAUGUAAUAAACAAUUGUUUUUACAAUG
Molecule: small RNA, 1336 nt
Filed under: Pan troglodytes (chimpanzee)
Lineage: Eukaryota; Metazoa; Chordata; Mammalia; Primates; Hominidae
Description: processed transcript
Source: RNAcentral